AUGCAUGCAUACAAGCAGACAAGCUGGACAAGUUUAAUUCACGGAAAAGGGAGGUCCCUCUCACAUCAGCCCCAAGCAGCAAUGACGGCUGUUAAAUUAUCCACAUUGAUCAUCUUGCAUGACUGAUGGUGUUGAGCCUUUUAGGCGAGAUUCUGAUUCUUUUCUUGAUUGGUUUUACAUAAUUUUGUGAAUAUUCAAGAUUAAUUGUAGGCAUAAGAAUUCUCAAAACUACGUUGUUUUCUAUGGCAGAUGUCACUCAGAAAAGUGUGAUGAGAGGAAGUAGCCACCUGUAGACUCGACCUGCGACUGCAUUAUUCCUUUUACGGUCUCACAUGACUCCAUGUUGUCUAAUUGACUCCACUCUCGGCGGCUCACCCAAUCAAAUGCUCCCAUGAUGCCUCACCAGGAACGAGACGGGCUGACUGAGUGGUGCCUUCUUUCAGCUCUCUCUGCGGGGGCCGAUGUCGACAUCCUGCUUCACAGCCUGUCCAGCCGCCACAGUGUGCAGCCAAACGCCCUGAAAGUGUCUGGGGCAUUGUUCUCCUACUUGAAAGUCAGCGAAGCUUUGUCAGCGUCCUCUCCUGUAGCCUUUAUCGUAUUCACACGCUGUGCUGUAUUUUUAGCACGUCCAAGUUUGCUCCCUUUGUUCCGGCAAUUCUUGAGCAAUCUUUCAGACCUCUCCACCUCCUCCAUUGUAUUUUUAGACAAAGGUGAAAAAUGGCAGACCUGAUGUGGAAGGGCCUUCCUCUGGAUCAGGGUUGGGUCUGUCUGAGAGACGGAGAGGGGCCUUGACACAAGCUUUGUCAGGGAGAAGGGGGUCUUGUCUAACCCAGCAGUCUGGACACAAAUGAUCCAAAUAUUUAGAAGCUUUCUUUUGUGGUCACUGCUCUUUUAGGAAUAGUCUUUAAAACAUAGCAGUAUAAAUAACAUAAAGAAGUACAGUUGUGUCCAAAUUAAGCUUCCAGAAUGUAAAAAAAAAAAA
This is a non-coding RNA of Oryzias latipes (Japanese medaka), 982 nucleotides long. The record is from RefSeq and is a predicted model, not a curated record. NCBI's taxonomy places the organism in Eukaryota, Metazoa, Chordata, Actinopteri, Beloniformes, Adrianichthyidae.